This 355-nucleotide RNase P RNA is filed under the name Coprococcus sp. RNAcentral's name for it is "RNase P RNA component class A". It matches the Rfam family "Bacterial RNase P class A". From Rfam's summary of the family: Ribonuclease P (RNase P) is a ubiquitous endoribonuclease, found in archaea, bacteria and eukarya as well as chloroplasts and mitochondria. The record is from RNAcentral. Lineage: Bacteria; Bacillati; Bacillota; Clostridia; Lachnospirales; Lachnospiraceae.
CAAGUAAGACAGACGUUCGCAGCUGCAGGCGCCGAAAGGCGGCAGGUGAGGAAAGUCCGGGCUUCACAGGGCAGGAUGCCGGAUAACGUCCGGUGGAGGCGACUCCAAGGCAAGUGCAACAGAAAUAAACCGCCCCUCAUAUUUUUGCGGGGUAAGGGUGGAAAGGCAGUGUAAGGGACUACCGCCUGGGCGGUAACGCACAGGGCAGAUGUAAACCCCAUCCGAAGCAAGACCGAGACAAAACAAUGUGGCGGCCCGUCACGUUUUAGGUAGGUUGCUUAAGCCUUCCGGCAACGGUAGGCGUAGACAGAUGAACGUCCAACGACAUAACCCGGCUUAUCGUCUUGCUUGCACC